CUUGAGAGUUUGAUCAUGGCUCAGAACGUACGCUGGCGGCACGCCUAACACAUGCAAGUCGAACGAAGUAGCAAUACUUAGUGGCAGACGGGUGAGUAACAUGUAGGUAUCUGCCCUUUGGCCUGGAAUAACACGAGGAAACUUGUGCUAAUACCGGAUAAGUCUUUACGGAGAAAGCUUUAUGCACCAUUGGAUGAGCCUGCACUUGAUUAGUUUGUUGGUGGGGUAAUGGCCUACCAAGACUGUGAUCAAUAGCUGAUUUGAGAGGAUGAUCAGCCACAUUGGGACUGAGACACGGCCCAGACUCCUACGGGAGGCAGCAGUGGGGAAU
Molecule: ribosomal RNA, 331 nt
Filed under: Alexandrium tamarense
Lineage: Eukaryota; Dinophyceae; Gonyaulacales; Pyrocystaceae
Description: partial Bacterial small subunit ribosomal RNA
Rfam family: Bacterial small subunit ribosomal RNA
Source: RNAcentral